Long non-coding RNA from Salvelinus sp. IW2-2015, 1071 nucleotides. RefSeq lists it as uncharacterized. The transcript is spliced from 3 exons. The record is from RefSeq and is a predicted model, not a curated record. Lineage: Eukaryota; Metazoa; Chordata; Actinopteri; Salmoniformes; Salmonidae.
AGGCCAGAGGCUCACAGGGUCAACCCAUGUCUCCAGGCAGGCCAGAGGCUCACAGGGUCAACCCAUGUCUCCAGGCAGGCCAGAGGCUCUAUGGUCUGAAGAGCUGCUGCGUCCAGUAGAACAGGAGGAAGGAAGGGGAGGAACCUCUCAGCUCUCUCAUUACCCCAUGAGGGAUCAGAGCGAAGGCACUGGGCAGGCUGAGGCUCCUACUCACCCCAGGGAAGAGCGAGGGCCUGGAUAGGGGAGAGGGCCAUAUCAGACCUCUUCAUAUCAUCUGGCCUCAUUGGUGGUUGACACUAGUGUCUAUUCCUGGGAUGCUCUGAAGGAGGACUUCAGGAGUCUGCUGGCAUGCGAAGAGGACCACCAUCCCUGACAGACAGAGACUGAAACUGGGCCUAAGGCGAGGCAGGUCAGGCAGUAGCCUCCAGUCUCCACAGAUCUGCUCAGAAGUGGCAGAAUGAGAUGGAUUUAAAGGUUGAUGGAAAGUCUGAAGUGUAGCGAAGGAGGGAGAGUCUCGGGGGGACGUCGUCAUAGCUUCCUGACAUGGAGCCACGGGCCACAAACCUGUGGUGGCUUCAGACAGCCUGUCCCCACCACCUCUCUCUCCACUCAGCUCUACUCUUCUCCGCUCGGCUAAAAUCAAAGCCAUGCCUUUUUGGAGACAUUGUGCCGGCUGUAAACGUCCCCCAUCUUCACGUGCGAGAGAGAGAGAGAGUCUUUCAUGUCUACUGUGGUUUCUAUUUGAAAAAAAAGAGAAAAGAAGGAAACAUGUGUAAAGUCUUUCAUGUUUCCCAAAGGCGGUACCACCUCAUAUAUCCGGUUGUAUCCAUUUAUAUCCUUUGUACUGGAGAGGACGUGGGGCUGCAAAUCGACGUCCGUCCGUCCCCCCCACCACUCCUAACAGAGUUGCAGCCAAGUUGUGGGUUGAAAUGCUAUUCUCUACCUCCCCACCUGCCAGACCUGGAGUCUCCCUGAAAGCCUGCUGAAGUACCUAAACAGUAUAUUUCUUUGUCUGCUGGUGUCAAUGCAUGUUUCUCUGUUUGCUCUCUGAUUUCUUGUAAAUACCACUGC